AAGCUCGUAGUUGAAUUUCGGGGUUAGUAGGUUGGUCAUGCCUCUGGUAUGUACUGGUCUCACUGAUUCCUCCUUCCUUAUGAACCGUAAUGCCAUUAAUUUGGUGUUGCGGGGAAUUUGGACUGUUACUUUGAAAAAAUUAGAGUGUUUAAAGCAAGCUAACGCUUGAAUACAUUAGCAUGGAAUAAUGAAAUAGGACGUUCGAUCUUAUUUUUGUUUGGUUUUCUUAGGAUUGACGUAAUGAUUAAUAGGAUAGUUGGG
This 261-nucleotide ribosomal RNA is filed under the name uncultured Glomus. RNAcentral's name for it is "partial 18S ribosomal RNA". It matches the Rfam family "Eukaryotic small subunit ribosomal RNA", at positions 624 to 885 of the family's 1831-position model. Lineage: Eukaryota; Fungi; Glomeromycota; Glomeromycetes; Glomerales; Glomeraceae. The record is from RNAcentral.